CGGGUGCGUUNCGCGUGGGAGUCUGCCCCUCGGUUCGGAACCAGUUAGAAAUGACUGCUAAUACCGGAUGAUGACGUAAGUCCAAAGAUUUAUCGCCGAGGGAUGAGCCCGCGUAGGAUUAGCUAGUUGGUGUGGUAAAGGCGCACCAAGGCGACGAUCCUUAGCUGGUCUGAGAGGAUGAUCAGCCACACUGGGACUGAGACACGGCCCAGACUCCUACGGGAGGCAGCAGUGGGGAAUAUUGGACAAUGGGCGAAAGCCUGAUCCAGCAAUGCCGCGUGAGUGAUGAAGGCCUUAGGGUUGUAAAGCUCUUUUACCCGGGAUGAUAAUGACAGUACCGGGAGAAUAAGCUCCGGCUAACUCCGUGCCAGCAGCCGCGGUAAU
This 384-nucleotide ribosomal RNA is filed under the name uncultured bacterium. RNAcentral's name for it is "bacterial SSU rRNA". It matches the Rfam family "Bacterial small subunit ribosomal RNA", at positions 103 to 524 of the family's 1533-position model. The record is from RNAcentral.